GACAGAGGAUGCAAGCGUUAUCCGGAAUUAUUGGGCGUAAAGAGCUCGUAGGCGGUGUGUCGCGUCGGCCGUGAAAACCUGCAGCUUAACUGUGGGCUUGCGGUCGAUACGGGCAUCACUGGAGUUCGGCAGGGGGGAGUGGAAUUCCUGGUGUAGCGGUGAAAUGCGCAGAUAUCAGGAGGAACACCGGUGGCGAAGGCGAGUGUCUGGGCCGAUACUGACGCUGAGGAGCGAAAGCGUGGGGAGCGAACAGG
Molecule: ribosomal RNA, 254 nt
Filed under: uncultured bacterium
Lineage: Bacteria
Description: partial 16S ribosomal RNA
Rfam family: Bacterial small subunit ribosomal RNA
Source: RNAcentral